Molecule: ribosomal RNA, 481 nt
Filed under: uncultured bacterium
Lineage: Bacteria
Description: bacterial SSU rRNA
Rfam family: Bacterial small subunit ribosomal RNA
Source: RNAcentral
CUACGUGCCAGCAGCCGCGGUAAUACGGAGGAUUCGAGCGUUAUCCGGAUUUACUGGGUUUAAAGGGUGCGCAGGCGGGCUCUUAAGUCAGCGGUGAAAUGUCUGGGCUUACCCUAGGAAUUGCCGUCGAUACUGGGAGUCUUGGAUAAGCAUAAGGACGGCGGAAUGCGUAGUGUAGCGGUGAAAUGCUUAGAUAUUACGUAGAAGACCAAUUGCGAAGGCAGCUGUCUGGGUCUUUAUCGACGCUCAAGCACGAAAGCGUGGGGAGCAAACAGGAUUAGAUACCCUGGUAGUCCACGCCGUAAACGAUGAUCACUCGCUCUUGGCGAUAUGCUGUCAGGGGCCAAGCGAAAGCGUUAAGUGAUCCACCUGGGGAGUACGGCCGCAAGGCUGAAACUCAAAGGAAUUGACGGGGGCCCGCACAAGCGGAGGAACAUGUGGUUUAAUUCGAUGAUACGCGAGGAACCUUACCUGGGCUAGA